RNAcentral lists this long non-coding RNA (308 nucleotides) under Homo sapiens (human). RNAcentral describes it as "non-protein coding lnc-TLR2-2:1". The record is from RNAcentral. Lineage: Eukaryota; Metazoa; Chordata; Mammalia; Primates; Hominidae.
GAUCUCUAUAUCCUAAGAUACUGAGAGUAUGAAAUGUAGGAAUGUAAGUAAACCAUGAGCCUAAGCUCCUUGAUUCCCAUUUUCUCUGGAGGGGUGUUGAGGGCAAGAGUACCACGCCUAAGAGAAUGGGCACUAUGGGUUCGUGUGUGGGGUGAGGGUGAUGUCUGUAGUAGAUGUUAGCUAUUAUUAUUAUUUUCCAAGAAGAUAUUUCAUUCCCUUAUAUAUUAUGGCUUGUAAGUGGAUAUUUUUCUGUUAUGGAUACUAGCAGGGAUAUAAGGGAUCCUGCUGUUUGCAGAAAAAUACCACAA